GAUUGCCCUGUAGACCAGAGGUGUCAUGAAGGGAGCACUGAUGAAGAUAAUUGUGUAGAUAUUAAUUUUAUAAUCACAGAAUACUAAACCUCUACUGGAUUCAGUAUGCCACUCCUUUUUCACGGCAUGGCAUUUGUGUUAACCACAACGAGCACCAACCACUACUGCCAAGUAUGGUAAGGUUUAGUCAACUCUUAAAAAGAGAAAUCGCCAGGAGAUUACAGUAUGAGAGAGAGAGGUGAGAGAGAUAAGUGUGUGUGUCUGAGAAAGAGAGUGUGUGUGUCUGAGAGAGAGAGCGAGAGAUAGCAUAGGGGUAUGUGUUCUUGUAAAGGGGGGAUUUAUUUCACAAACAGGGGGGAAAAAACUAUUCUACAGAUUUGAUCGAAGGUGUUGUUGAUGGAUGAUUAUGACAUAAUCCCAAACAGUUGGCAUGCAAAUAAACAUUAGCUCCUCAGUCCUUCUCAUUGGGUGUUAGUGGCUGAUGGACGGAUCUAAAGAGGAAAGUGAAAACACAAACUCACACUCUGUCAGCAUCCAGCCGUGGCAAGCAGGCACAUUGUGGAGUAGGCUAUGCAGCCGCGCUAAAGAGUUAUUAAAGUUCUGAGUCUGACAGUCAAAGCUUCCGGAAGGCAUACACACGGAGGAAUACAACUGAAAACAGGGAGGAAAAUCUCACCUCACCGGUAUCUGCUUUCUACACUUUGACUUUGGGACUAUUCUGGAGUGUAGCUAAAUGAAAAGGAGGCGACGUAUCAUAACCAAAUAGACCGCACUAUGGAGAGCAAGGGCAGCCGCUGUAAAAUCGUGGUGGUCGGCGACACGCGAUGUGGCAAAACGGCAUUACUUCAUGUCUUCGCCAAAGACUCGUACCCAGAGAAUUAUGUCCCUACUGUCUUCGAGAACUACACGGCCAGUUUCGAGAUCGAGAAACAGAGGAUUGAGCUGAACAUGUGGGACACAUCAGAACUCAAUAGCGACACAAUAUGAUGGACCAAGAUUCCCUGAAUAUCAAGCAUCAACUUCUGAUCACCUGGUCACCUGACCCCGUGAUAAGACCAAUAAGGUCACCAACGACCUGCU
Long non-coding RNA from Coregonus clupeaformis (lake whitefish), 1080 nucleotides. RefSeq lists it as uncharacterized. The record is from RefSeq and is a predicted model, not a curated record. The transcript has 3 exons. Lineage: Eukaryota; Metazoa; Chordata; Actinopteri; Salmoniformes; Salmonidae.